UGAAGGUCACGUUCUUGACUCUCUUCUCCGUGACUUAUCGGAGAAGUCCGGGCCCUUGCCGGCGUCCAAGGCUUCGAUCGAUGCGAUGCCGAGAGUUGGGGUUACGGAAUUGGGGAUAGAUUGUGCGAUAUGCUUAGACGGAUUUGCAGCCGAUGAGGAGGCCAGGGAGAUGCCUUGCAAACAUAUGUAUCAUUCGGAUUGUAUUGAGAAAUGGUUGAGGGUUCGCGGAACGUGUCCGGUUUGUCGGUUCGUGAUGCCGGUGGAUGAUCAGGAAGGGAAGAAGGACGGUGGUGGUGAUGAUGAAGAUGAAAAUAUGGAAGGCGGAGAAGGACGAGUGGUUGUAGUCAAUCUGUGGGUUAACGAUGGUGAAGGUGAACCGAUGGAUGUGGAAUCGGGCUUGGAGCAUGGAUCGGAGGACUCCGAUUCAGAAUCGCAAGAUGAAAUUAUGGCCGAAGUUGAUGACUCGCCAACACAAGAACAAGAUCCGAG
RNAcentral lists this unclassified non-coding RNA (489 nucleotides) under Hevea brasiliensis (rubber tree). Lineage: Eukaryota; Viridiplantae; Streptophyta; Magnoliopsida; Malpighiales; Euphorbiaceae. The record is from RNAcentral.